This 254-nucleotide ribosomal RNA is filed under the name uncultured bacterium. Its description in RNAcentral is "partial 16S ribosomal RNA". It matches the Rfam family "Bacterial small subunit ribosomal RNA", at positions 524 to 776 of the family's 1533-position model. The record is from RNAcentral.
UACAGAGGGUGCAAACGUUGUUCGGAAUUACUGGGCAUAAAGCGCGCGUAGGCGGCGACGUAAGUGUAGGGUGAAAUCCCACGGCUCACCCGUGUGAACAGCCCCGCAUACUGCGUUGCUUGAGUGUGGUAGGGGAGAGCGGAACUCCUGGUGGAGCGGUGAAAUGCGUAGAUAUCAGGAGGAACACCGGUGGCGUAGGCGGCUCUCUGGUCCAUAACUGACGCUGAAGUGCGAAAGCUAGGGUAGCGAACGGG